This 221-nucleotide ribosomal RNA is filed under the name uncultured bacterium. RNAcentral's name for it is "partial 16S ribosomal RNA". It matches the Rfam family "Bacterial small subunit ribosomal RNA", at positions 524 to 742 of the family's 1533-position model. The record is from RNAcentral.
UACGUAGGGUGCGAGCGUUAAUCGGAAUUACUGGGCGUAAAGUGUGCGCAGGCGGCAGAGCAAGUCGAGUGUGAAAGCCCCGGGCUUAACUUGGGAAUUGCGCUCGAAACUACUUUGCUGGAGUGUGGCAGAGGAAGGUGGAAUUCCACGUGUAGCGGUGAAAUGACGUAGAGAUGUGGAGGAACACCAAAUGGCGAAGGCAGCCUUCUGGGCCAACACGU